AAGUCGUAACAAGGUUUCCGUAGGUGAACCUGCGGAAGGAUCAUAUCCAACGUUAAACCCCCCGUGCACACAGCGAUGCUCCCCUCAAUUUCGUUGGCAAUCCCUAUCGCCGAACAGUUUUGAUUCAGGGACAUCCAAAGGGGAUGAAAGUAGUAGUCAAUGCAAAGCAACCUGGUUUCUUUCAAGCAGAAAGUGUGAUGGCGUGAGCCGGAGAACGGACCGAGUGGUAGUUCAAAGGUGUCUUCUGUCGCGCACUGUGGAAAGGAAGACGCUUUACGAAUCACUGUCCAACACGGUCAGUGACCGGGUUCCUGGUCCUAGACCCCAUAUUCACCACCACAGUCGCAGACGAGGUAGGGAUACGUCCCUACCACCAAAUAAAUACUUGAACAACUGUUAACAAUGGAUAUCUUGGUUCUC
Molecule: unclassified non-coding RNA, 420 nt
Filed under: fungal sp.
Lineage: Eukaryota; Fungi
Description: partial internal transcribed spacer region
Rfam family: Eukaryotic small subunit ribosomal RNA (bases 1-46)
Source: RNAcentral